RNAcentral lists this long non-coding RNA (261 nucleotides) under Vigna radiata. RNAcentral's name for it is "long non-coding RNA (VRAD_LNC011589)". Lineage: Eukaryota; Viridiplantae; Streptophyta; Magnoliopsida; Fabales; Fabaceae. The record is from RNAcentral.
GGGCAUCCCUAAACAUGUCUGAGAGUCGAUGAGAGGCUUUCAUGUGGAAAUUUCUAUGUAUUUGUGUUUCAUGUUCAGGUUUCCACUACACCUUCAUCUAUACAUUCAUUGAUAAACAAAACAAACAUUGAUUAAUGACUCAAUUAUAUAAUACCAAUGACAAUUACUUUAAAGUUGUUUACCUUAAAACGCUCCCAAAAUGGCUUUCUGUCGUCUUUAGGUAUUGCUCCCCAAGUAGGCCAUGGACUCAUAUACUGUUGC